This 535-nucleotide ribosomal RNA is filed under the name Bifidobacterium breve. Its description in RNAcentral is "bacterial SSU rRNA". It matches the Rfam family "Bacterial small subunit ribosomal RNA", at positions 159 to 704 of the family's 1533-position model. The record is from RNAcentral. Lineage: Bacteria; Bacillati; Actinomycetota; Actinomycetes; Bifidobacteriales; Bifidobacteriaceae.
GGUGGUAAUGCCGGAUGCUCCAUCACACUGCAUGGUGUGUUGGGAAAGCCUUUGCGGCAUGGGAUGGGGUCGCGUCCUAUCAGCUUGAUGGCGGGGUAACGGCCCACCAUGGCUUCGACGGGUAGCCGGCCUGAGAGGGCGACCGGCCACAUUGGGACUGAGAUACGGCCCAGACUCCUACGGGAGGCAGCAGUGGGGAAUAUUGCACAAUGGGCGCAAGCCUGAUGCAGCGACGCCGCGUGAGGGAUGGAGGCCUUCGGGUUGUAAACCUCUUUUGUUAGGGAGCAAGGCAUUUUGUGUUGAGUGUACCUUUCGAAUAAGCACCGGCUAACUACGUGCCAGCAGCCGCGGUAAUACGUAGGGUGCAAGCGUUAUCCGGAAUUAUUGGGCGUAAAGGGCUCGUAGGCGGUUCGUCGCGUCCGGUGUGAAAGUCCAUCGCUUAACGGUGGAUCCGCGCCGGGUACGGGCGGGCUUGAGUGCGGUAGGGGAGACUGGAAUUCCCGGUGUAACGGUGGAAUGUGUAGAUAUCGGAAAA